This 1434-nucleotide ribosomal RNA is filed under the name Triticum aestivum (bread wheat). RNAcentral's name for it is "partial small subunit ribosomal RNA". The record is from RNAcentral. Lineage: Eukaryota; Viridiplantae; Streptophyta; Magnoliopsida; Poales; Poaceae.
AUGGAUCAGCAAGGCCAAACUUCUAUCGAUUCAGACGAUUCCAAGAUGGUUCAGCUGGCCAAUGGUCUGAGAGGUGAAUUAGACGCCCUACACUCACCACAGGCGCAGGUCGGCGACAAGCGCCCUCCUUGUCCCAUCAUCAUCGCCAAGGUCCGCGACCAGACGCGUAACGUCGACAACGGCGAGUAUGACCCCGACCACGUCGCCAUCGGCCCGUACAACUACCCUCGACCCCAGAGCAAGAGCCCGCAUCUCGCCAUGGAGCACGACAAGCUGAUGAGCCUGGACAUGGUGAUCACGGCAGCCAAGGCUCGGAGACCCGGCAUGACGGUGGAGGUGGACGUCUACGUCAAGGAGCUUGCACACCUCGAGGAAUCUGUGAGGAACUGCUACGGAAACACGUUUCCUGACAUGACGAGCGAGCAAUUCGUCCGCAUGCUCCUCCUAGACGGCUGCUACAUACUCUCCCGCCUCGUCAACCUCCAACUCGGAGCACAAGCCAUGGACGAUGCGGCUGGGACUGCAAAUGCAGGCGUCCUGUCAGCGAGCAGGGCCGAGGCGCUGGCCGUGGUUCGGGAUGUGUUCUACCUUGCAGAGAACCAGAUACCUUUUUUUGUCCUUGCAAAGAUUGGGGAGCUGACGGGUUUGGACGGUAACGAUCGUGUGAUUACACAGAUUGCCAAGUAUGCUCUCGCUCUCAUCAGGAGACAAAAGUACGCGGUAGCAGAUCUGGUCACGGUGCCGACGGAUCCAGGCAAUCUUCUCCAUCUUCUUCAUAUGCACUUGAAACCUGUGGCACCUACGAUCUCUUCUACUACAACGGCCAGCGGCGCCGACCCCGAGCCCGUGCGCAGGUGGCGCUCAGCGACAGAGUACUACUUCGCCGGGGUGAUGUUCAAGCGUCGAGACAUGAGCGAGACCGGAAACACGCGGUGCAUCCUCGACGUGAAGCUGAGCAGCGGCAGUGGCACGCUGGAGGUCCCCUGCUUGGACAUCGACGCCGAGACAUGGCGCCUUCUGCGCAACCUGAUGGAGCUGGAGCAGCGGAACCGGGAGACGGUGGGGAGCCACGUCACAGCGUACUGUGUGUUCAUGUCCCAGGUGGCCUGCACCACAAAGGAUGUGGAGCUGUUGAUGAAGAGAGGCGUCAUCGUGCAUGGCCAAGGCAACAAUGAUGAGGUGGCCAGAUGCUUUGCCGACCUCUGCAAGGGUAUUAUGUUUGACCCUAACGACCCCCGAUGCAACUAUCUGAGGGAGACAUGCUGCAAGCUGGAGAAGCGUUUCCUGAGCAACCCGCAGAGGUGGAUGGCGUGGCUGAGGCGCAAGUACUUCAACAACCCCUGGCUCGCCGUCGGGCUCCUAGCGGCUGCCAUUGGACUAGUUUGCGCUAUCGUCCAGGCUGUAUACUCUGUUUUGAGUUACAAGAAUGGAUGA